RNAcentral lists this ribosomal RNA (253 nucleotides) under uncultured bacterium. RNAcentral describes it as "partial 16S ribosomal RNA". It matches the Rfam family "Bacterial small subunit ribosomal RNA", at positions 524 to 776 of the family's 1533-position model. The record is from RNAcentral.
UACGUAGGUGGCAAGCGUUGUCCGGAUUUAUUGGGUUUAAAGGGUGCGUAGGCGGUCUAUUAAGUCAGUGCUGAAAUAUCCCGGCUUAACCGGGAGGGUGGCAUUGAUACUGAUGGACUUGAGUAAAGUUGAGGUAGGCGGAAUUGACGGUGUAGCGGUGAAAUGCUUAGAUAUCGGGAGGAACACCAGUGGCGAAGGCGACUACCUGGCCUGUUCUUGACGCUGAGGCGCGAAAGCUAGGGGAGCAAACGGG